AACAGGAUUAGAUACCCUGGUAGUCCACGCCGUAAACGAUGGAUACUAGCUGUCUGGCUCACAUUGGUGAGCUGGGUGGCCAAGCGAAAGUGAUAAGUAUCCCACCUGGGGAGUACGUUCGCAAGAAUGAAACUCAAAGGAAUUGACGGGGGCCCGCACAAGCGGUGGAGCAUGUGGUUUAAUUCGAUGAUACGCGAGGAACCUUACCAGGGCUUAAAUGUAGUCUGACAGGAUUGGAAACAGUCUUUUCUUCGGACAGAUUACAAGGUGCUGCAUGGUUGUCGUCAGCUCGUGCCGUGAGGUGUCAGGUUAAGUCCUAUAACGAGCGCAACCCCUGUUGUUAGUUGCCAGCGAGUCAAGUCGGGAACUCUAACAAGACUGCCGGUGCAAACCGUGAGGAAGGUGGGGAUGACGUCAAAUCAUCACGGCCCUUACGUCCUGGGCCACACACGUGCUACAAUGGCAGGUACAAUGGGCAGCCACUACGCAAGUAGGAGCGAAUCCACAAAACCUGUCUCAGUUCGGAUCGGGGUCUGCAACUCGACCCCGUGAAGCUGGAAUCGCUAGUAAUCGGAUAUCAGCCAUGAUCCGGUGAAUACGUUCCCGGGCCUUGUACACACCGCCCGUCAAGCCAUGGAAGCUGGAAGCACCUGAAGUCCGUCACCGCAAGGAGCGGCCUAGGGUGAAGCUGGUAACUGGGGCUAAGUCGUAACAAGGUAACC
RNAcentral lists this ribosomal RNA (722 nucleotides) under uncultured bacterium. Its description in RNAcentral is "bacterial SSU rRNA". It matches the Rfam family "Bacterial small subunit ribosomal RNA", at positions 771 to 1501 of the family's 1533-position model. The record is from RNAcentral.